RNAcentral lists this ribosomal RNA (253 nucleotides) under uncultured bacterium. RNAcentral's name for it is "partial 16S ribosomal RNA". It matches the Rfam family "Bacterial small subunit ribosomal RNA", at positions 524 to 776 of the family's 1533-position model. The record is from RNAcentral.
UACGUAGGGGGCUAGCGUUGUCCGGAAUCAUUGGGCGUAAAGAGCGUGUAGGCGGUCCGGUAAGUCCGCUGUGAAAGUCGGGGGCUCAACCCUCGAAUGCCGGUGGAUACUGUCGGGCUAGAGUGCGGAAGAGGCGAGUGGAAUUCCUGGUGUAGCGGUGAAAUGCGCAGAUAUCAGGAGGAACACCGGUGGCGAAGGCGGGUCUCUGGGCCGAUACUGACGCUGAGGAGCGAAAGCGUGGGGAGCAAACAGG